RNAcentral lists this ribosomal RNA (208 nucleotides) under uncultured bacterium. RNAcentral's name for it is "partial 16S ribosomal RNA". It matches the Rfam family "Bacterial small subunit ribosomal RNA", at positions 568 to 775 of the family's 1533-position model. The record is from RNAcentral.
CGUGUAGGCGGGUUUGCAAGUCGGGUGUGAAAGAUUCGGGCUUAACCCGGAGAGGUCAUCCGAAACUGCAGAUCUUGAGUGCUGGAGAGGAUAGUGGAAUUCCUGGUGUAGCGGUAAAAUGCGUAGAGAUCAGGAGGAACACCAGUGGCGAAGGCGGCUAUCUGGACAGUAACUGACGCUGAGGCGCGAAAGCGUGGGGAGCAAACAG